This is a non-coding RNA of Syngnathoides biaculeatus (alligator pipefish), 1098 nucleotides long. The record is from the annotation of a RefSeq genome assembly. Lineage: Eukaryota; Metazoa; Chordata; Actinopteri; Syngnathiformes; Syngnathidae.
CAAAACUCCGCGGGCGUAGCUGACGGUUUCUGCCCACAAAUGCGAGUCCAGUCAGUACAGGCCACUGCACGAGUCCUUUUGGGAUCGUCACGGCUGCAUAGAGAUGUGGUGGACUCCAAGAGGAUCAAAAUACAUCAAUUUCUGAUGGAUUUAGUAAAACAGUAAUACAGAUACUGUACUGGUGCCUUCAGACUGAUGUGGAGGAGUACAGAGUCCAAAAAACAGGAAGCAACGUUCCUCUCACUUUCACACAGACAGGUGCGCUUGCAGCUUUAUUUGCAUGCGCUUCUGCUCCGCCGCUUAUUCAUAAGUCGCCGCGAAUCUUUUCACACAAACUCCACUUGGAAUCCAAGUCAGGAUGUGGUCGCCCGCACUCGCGCUCGUCCUUUGGGCUCUGCUGAUUCCGGGAUCUUCUGCCACUAAAUUUCUGAGGCAGCCGGACAGAAUGAAGUCCGUCUCACUUGGAGGGACGGUGAAGAUUGACGCUACGGGGAGUUCAGAUAUCGGUGCUGAUCUCAGUUGGUACCAAGUGAAACCCGGGCAGGCUCCCAAACUGCUCAUCUACCAAGUAUCCAGUCGGUACUCUGGCACGCCAUCUCGAUUCAGCGGCGCACGAUCUGGCUCGGACUACACCCUGACCAUCAAUGGUGUCCAGGCAGAAGACGUGGCCGACUACUACUGCCUCGGCGCACACAGCGGCGGAACGUACACACGGUGAUUCGGAGGCGUACAAAAACCUCCUUCAACUUUGAGAGAAGUGAAAGUGGCCUGCAGAAGGUGCCAAGCGGAACGCAGAGGACACUCUGAAUGUGGAGAUGACACGUCGUCAAGCUAACGAAUCUGUCCAGAUGACGAACAACACUAUAUUUAUUAUAUUCUAUUUUCAAGAUUUGUAGUGUGUAUGAAUGAGUAGUUAUCAAUUUUUGUCAGAGAUAAAAUAUAUUGAUGAAAUGAGGAAUAGGGUUUCAUUUUAACUUAUGUAUCAAUAUAAACUACAUAAAUGUCACAAUGAAUUCAUCACAAUUGAAACAAUUCAUGAAAGCACCAACUAUACAGUCCAUUAUUUCUUAUCUAAUUAUAUUAUUUGUAUCCAUUAGG